Hyla sarda is the source of this 570-nucleotide long non-coding RNA. RefSeq lists it as uncharacterized. The transcript is spliced from 4 exons. The record is from RefSeq and is a predicted model, not a curated record. Lineage: Eukaryota; Metazoa; Chordata; Amphibia; Anura; Hylidae.
GAAAUAGAACUCCCAGGAGUGAGGGGCCGGUGCUGGACACUGUGUAGGGACGCGGGAAUGCAAAGUCAUACACAUGACUGUGACUGAUGCACUAUCUCCAGGACAUGGAGUAGCAUUUCCGGACCUACAGCAAGACGUUGGAUGAAGGCACAGCCCCAGAAAUAACACUGGUCCUGUUCAUUCUUCAUCAGUGAGGGGCCGGUGCUGGACACUGUGUAGGGACGCGGGAAUGCAAAGUCAUGCACAUGACUGUGACUGAUGCACUAUCUCCAGGACAUGGAGUAGCAUUUCGGGACCUACAGCAAGACGUUGGAUGAAGGCACAGCCCUAGGAAUCACACACAUACACAGACACAUUUGCCCAAAUUAUAGAGGUAACCUCCUUUAGUAUGCCCAGAGGAAGGGCAAUACAGUAGCCAUGGAUUCCCUACAGGUUUCCUCCCCUCUGGAGGUUUUUCCUGUCCUGAGUAUUAGUUACUGUACGCUCUUUGUGAGUGAUGGGAGGUUACAAAAAAUCCCCUACACAAACAUUUUCAUAAAUUAUAAAUAAAGUUCCCCUUUUUUUAAACUG